AUUGAACGCUGGCGGCAUGCCUAACACAUGCAAGUCGAACGAGCGGCGGACGGGUGAGUAAUGUAUGGGGAUCUGCCUGAUGGCGGGGGAUAACUACUGGAAACGGUAGCUAAUACCGCAUACCAUCAGAUGAACCCAUAUGGGAUUAGCUGGUUGGUAAGGUAACGGCUUACCUAGGCGACGAUCCCUAGCUGGUCUGAGAGGAUGAUCAGCCACACUGGGACUGAGACACGGCCCAGACUCCUACGGGAGGCAGCAGUGGGGAAUAUUGGACAAUGGGCGAAAGCCUGAUGCAGCCAUGCCGCGUGUAUGAAGAAGGCCUUCGGGUUGUAAAGUACUUUCAGUAGGGAGGCGUUACCGACAGAAGAAGCACCGGCUAACUCCGUGCCAGCAGCCGCGGUAAUAC
This 406-nucleotide ribosomal RNA is filed under the name uncultured bacterium. Its description in RNAcentral is "partial 16S ribosomal RNA". It matches the Rfam family "Bacterial small subunit ribosomal RNA", at positions 30 to 526 of the family's 1533-position model. The record is from RNAcentral.